Molecule: ribosomal RNA, 528 nt
Filed under: Bryocoris sp. 1 ML-2012
Lineage: Eukaryota; Metazoa; Arthropoda; Insecta; Hemiptera; Miridae
Description: partial 16S ribosomal RNA
Rfam family: Archaeal large subunit ribosomal RNA
Source: RNAcentral
UUACAAAAACAUGUUCUUUUGUUUAUAUAUAAGAUUUGACCUGCCCUAUGAUUAUUAAAUGGCUGCAGUAUUUUGACUGUACAAAGGUAGCAUAAUCAUUUGUCUUUUAAUUAAGGUCUGGAAUGAAUGGUUGGAUGAGAAAUAUACUUUUUUUAUUUUAUACGAAAAAGUUAAUUUUUGAGUUAAAAAGCUUAAAUAUAUUUAUAGGACGAGAAGACCCUAUAGAAUUUUAUUCAUUAAGCAUAUAUGUUUUUAUAGUUUGUUAUAAAUAUAUAUGUUAUGUGAAUUUUGUUGGGGUGACAAAAAAAAUUUUAUAACUUUUUUUAUUUUUUACAUUAUUUUAUGUAUACUUGAUCCUUUUUUUGGAAAAAAGAUUAAAUUACCUUAGGGAUAACAGCGUUAUUAUUUCAGAGAGUUCAUAUUGAUGAAAUAGUUUGCGACCUCGAUGUUGGAUUAAAAUAAAAUAUAGGGGUAGAAUAUUAUGUUUUUGGUCUGUUCGACCAAUAAGUUUUUACAUGAUCUGAGUUU